This 206-nucleotide ribosomal RNA is filed under the name uncultured bacterium. RNAcentral's name for it is "partial 16S ribosomal RNA". It matches the Rfam family "Bacterial small subunit ribosomal RNA", at positions 568 to 774 of the family's 1533-position model. The record is from RNAcentral.
CGCGUAGGCGGUUCGGUAAGUCCUGUGUGAAAUCCCUCGGCUCAACUGAGGAACUGCACGGGAGACUGCCGGGCUUGAGUUCGGGAGAGGGAAGCGGAAUUCCGGGUGUAGCGGUGAAAUGCGUAGAUAUCCGGAGGAACACCGGUGGCGAAGGCGGCUUCCUGGACCGACACUGACGCUGAGGCGCGAAAGCUAGGGGAGAAACG